Nomascus leucogenys (northern white-cheeked gibbon) is the source of this 107-nucleotide small nuclear RNA. The record is from Ensembl. NCBI's taxonomy places the organism in Eukaryota, Metazoa, Chordata, Mammalia, Primates, Hylobatidae.
GUGCUCACUUCGACAGCAUGUAUUCUAAAAUUAGAAUGAUACAGAGAAGAUUAGCAUGGCCCCAGUGCAAGGAUGACACGUAAAUUCGUGAAGUGUUCCAUAUUUUA